RNAcentral lists this ribosomal RNA (460 nucleotides) under uncultured bacterium. RNAcentral's name for it is "partial 16S ribosomal RNA". It matches the Rfam family "Bacterial small subunit ribosomal RNA", at positions 338 to 795 of the family's 1533-position model. The record is from RNAcentral.
CCUACGGGUGGCAGCAGUGAGGAAUAUUGGUCCAUGGACGAGAGUCUGAACCAGCCAAGUAGCGUGAAGGAUGACUGCCCUAUGGGUUGUAAACUUCUUUUAUAUGGGAAUAACAUGUUCCACGUGUGGGAUUUUGUAUGUACCGUAUGAAUAAGGAUCGGCUAACUCCGUGCCAGCAGCCGCGGUAAUACGGAGGAUCCGAGCGUGAUCCGGAUUUAUUGGGUUUAAAGGGAGUGUAGGUGGAUUGUCAAGCCAGUUGUGAAAGUUUGCGGCUCAACCGGAAAAUUGCAGUUGAAACUGGCAGUCUUGAGUACAGUAGAGGUGGGCGGAAUUCGUGGUGUAGCGGUGAAAUGCUUAGAUAUCACGAAGAACUCCGAUUGCGAAGGCAGCUUACUGGACUGCAACUGACACUGAUGCUCGAAAGUGUGGGUAUCAAACAGGAUUAGAUACCCUAGUAGUC